Saccostrea cuccullata (small rock oyster) is the source of this 947-nucleotide long non-coding RNA. RefSeq lists it as uncharacterized. The transcript is spliced from 6 exons. The record is from RefSeq and is a predicted model, not a curated record. NCBI's taxonomy places the organism in Eukaryota, Metazoa, Mollusca, Bivalvia, Ostreida, Ostreidae.
UCCUUAGGUAGUGUAGAUUCACAUUUGUCCAAAUCUUGAUUCCAGGGGGCAGGGAGGGGCAUCAAUGGGGAUAAAAUUUUAACAAAGGAAUAUAUAGAAAAAAUUUUAUGUUCAAGAACAGCUAAGCCAUUGUUAUUGAUAUGAAAAUGUCUCCAGGUAGUUAUUCAAACCCCCAUCUCCUCUUCCUAAAUUUUAUACUUUUCAAUACUGGACUAAUUUGUGCAUUUACUAGCCAAUAUGCUUAGGUGAGCAUAUUGGCCAUUGGCCACUAGUUUAUUUUAGAAAUCUUCUCACUUGGUAUGAAGUGCAAGUGAUCCCCUUUUGGUGUCUGUUAAUUUUUAUCUUUUUAAGAGGAAUACUUUUAAGGCUGGACGGGAUCCUGAAGUGAGGAGGACUCCCUCUCUCAUUGAACUGCAUACAGCAGCAGAAAGCAGGAUUUCAGUUCCCCUUUGAUUCAGAAGAGGAACAACAAUGGAGGACCAAGGUCAUUAAUAUAAGAAGAGUCUAUUCCUGUCUGUGUUUUGCAGAAGAAAGUUAAGACUAACUAGGAAUUCUAAGUGAGGAAGAGUCCCUUUCCCAUUCCACUGCAGCCAUGAGGAGAAUACUCUAUUUUCAAGGAAUUUGACAAGGGAAGAGGACCAGUGCUGACCAAGAGAAGAGAAAGAAGAGUCUAUUGCCAAGCUUUGUACAGCAGCCAAUAUCUGAUUAAGGAGUGGGCAGACGGUUAUGCUGGCAUUGAUCCUGUUUCCAAAAGCAGAUCAACAUGAUUCCUCAAGACUCCAAAGAGAUCAACUAUGGGACCUGAAAAUAAAGGCAGACUGCCAUCAAUUUCAUUAUUUCUUUGAUAGCAGACAAAUAUGCUUCAACAAUAGCGCAGAGAGUAAUUGAAGGUUUGGACUGCAAGUGAUGGACACACUAAAUAACUCAAUUAACUCAAAGAAUUCAAU